RNAcentral lists this ribosomal RNA (299 nucleotides) under uncultured bacterium. RNAcentral describes it as "partial 16S ribosomal RNA". It matches the Rfam family "Bacterial small subunit ribosomal RNA", at positions 336 to 627 of the family's 1533-position model. The record is from RNAcentral.
UUCCUACGGGACGCAGCAGUAGGGAAUUUUCGUCAAUGGGCGCAAGCCUGAACGAGCAAUGCCGCGUGAACGAGGAAGGUCUUCGGAUCGUAAAGUUCUGUUGAAGGGGAAAAAGAGCGGAGAGAGGAAAUGGUCUCCGAUUGAUAUUACCCUUCGAGGAAGUCACGGCUAACUACGUGCCAGCAGCCGCGGUAAUACGUAGGUGGCGAGCGUUAAUCGGAAUUACUGGGCGUAAAGGGUGCGCAGGCGGUUGAGUAAGACAGAUGUGAAAUCCCCGAGCUUAACUCGGGAAUGGCAUA